This 398-nucleotide long non-coding RNA is filed under the name Selaginella moellendorffii. Its description in RNAcentral is "long non-coding RNA (SMOE_LNC002120)". Lineage: Eukaryota; Viridiplantae; Streptophyta; Lycopodiopsida; Selaginellales; Selaginellaceae. The record is from RNAcentral.
UUCCACGGUCGCCAUCACCGACGAGCGAGAAUCUCAAAGGAAUCUAGACUGGAGAAUGGGGGAUUUGACAAUGUGAUCCACGAGCAUAGGUAAGUGUGAGUGAUCUUACAGAGGAUCGAUCGAUCGAGCAAGGCAUCCGAGAGAGAUUUGCAUCAUGUACGUGGUGGAGGACAAAGGGGGCGCCAUCGCGCUCAUGCUCACGGCGCUCGUCUUCCUGGGGACAUGGCCAGCGAUCAUGAACCUGUUAGAACGAAGAGGGCGAUUGCCACAGCACACGUACCUCGACUACUGCAUCACCAAUUACAUUGCUGCCAUUGUCAUCGCGCUCACGCUCGGCCAGAUCGGCGAGAGUUCCACUCAGACUCCCAAUUUCCUGGAGCAGCUCAAGCAGGUGAUCG